RNAcentral lists this ribosomal RNA (815 nucleotides) under Thermobrachium celere DSM 8682. Its description in RNAcentral is "LSU rRNA". The stretch from base 1 to 522 matches the Rfam family "Bacterial large subunit ribosomal RNA", at positions 2112 to 2632 of the family's 2925-position model. The record is from RNAcentral. Lineage: Bacteria; Bacillati; Bacillota; Clostridia; Eubacteriales; Clostridiaceae.
UAGCAUUGAGUUUCGGUAUUGUCUGUACAGGAUAGGUGGGAGGCUGAGAAGUAGCGUCGCCAGGCGCUAUGGAGCCGCCGUUGGGAUACCACCCUGAUGAUACUGAAGCUCUAACCGGAGGCCAUGAAGCUGGUCACGGGACAUUGUUAGGCGGGCAGUUUGACUGGGGCGGUCGCCUCCUAAAGAGUAACGGAGGCGCCCAAAGGUUCCCUCAGUGCGGUUGGAAAUCGCGCGUAGAGUGCAAAGGCAGAAGGGAGCCUAACUGUGAGACUGACAAGUCGAGCAGUGACGAAAGUCGGGCUUAGUGAUCCGGUGGUACCGAGUGGAAGGGCCAUCGCUCAACGGAUAAAAGCUACCUCGGGGAUAACAGGCUGAUCUCCCCCAAGAGUCCACAUCGACGGGGAGGUUUGGCACCUCGAUGUCGGCUCGUCGCAUCCUGGGGCUGAAGUAGGUCCCAAGGGUUGGGCUGUUCGCCCAUUAAAGCGGCACGCGAGCUGGGUUCAGAACGUCGUGAGACAAUAUAAAAUAUAAUAGCUAGGGUGGGCGGAGGGUUUAUGAUUGAAAGGAGAAAGGAGCAUUGAAGGAGGCAAAGCUUGUAGUAUUAUCACUGCUUACAGGAAUGAUUGUUGGAUUUAUAUUCCAAAAGCUUUCCCUACCUGUGCCAGCACCACCAACUAUUGAUGCCUUCAUGGGUAUCUUUGGUGUAUGGCUUGGUUCAGUUGUAAUUGAUAAGAUUUCAAGAUAAUUAAAGGAGGGAAAGUGAAAUGAUGACAAUACUAUUAGCAACAGUUGCAGGUAUGAUAUUAGGUGCUCUA